Molecule: small RNA, 465 nt
Filed under: Pongo abelii (Sumatran orangutan)
Lineage: Eukaryota; Metazoa; Chordata; Mammalia; Primates; Hominidae
Description: processed transcript
Source: RNAcentral
GGCGGUGGCGGCCGUGGAGGCUGAGAGUCCAGAGCCAGACGUUCCGGCCGCUUCGGGCUGGCGGCUGGAGAGCGCCCGGGUCAUGUCGGCCCAGGGGGACUGCGAGUUCCUGGUGCAGCGAGCCCGGGAGUUGGUGCCGCAGGACCUGUGGGCAGCCAAGGCGUGGCUGAUCACGGCCCGCAGCCUCUACCCGGCCGACUUUAACAUCCAGUAUGAGAUGUAUACCAUUGAGCGGAAUGCAGAGCGGACCGCCACCGCCGGGAGGCUGCUGUACGACAUGUUUGUGAAUUUCCCAGACCAGCCGGUGGUGUGGAGAGAAAUCAGCAUUAUUACAUCAGCAUUAAGGAAUGAUUCACAGGACAAACAAACCCAAUUUUUAAGAAGUUGGCCUUGGGGAGGCACUAUUAGAGGCUGAAACUAUUGAAGAACAAGAAUCUCCAGUGAACUGCUUUAGAAAAUUAUUUG